RNAcentral lists this long non-coding RNA (199 nucleotides) under Lathyrus oleraceus (garden pea). RNAcentral's name for it is "Pisum sativum (pea) long non-coding RNA (PSAT_LNC007478)". The record is from RNAcentral. Lineage: Eukaryota; Viridiplantae; Streptophyta; Magnoliopsida; Fabales; Fabaceae.
GCUUUUCUUGAACCCCAGAAUUUUUUGAUUUUCUUUUUUUUUGCUUUUCUUGAACCCCAGAAUUUUUUGAUUUUCUUUUUUUUGCUUUUCUUGAACCCCAAAAUUUUUCGCGCGAGUGAUCCCCGAUCACCGCAUUUAAACCCCGACAACUUCAUGUCAUUCUUGCUGCCAAACAAUGAACCCUGUUCUCCAUUUGAAC